This 266-nucleotide ribosomal RNA is filed under the name uncultured prokaryote. Its description in RNAcentral is "partial 16S ribosomal RNA". It matches the Rfam family "Bacterial small subunit ribosomal RNA", at positions 524 to 789 of the family's 1533-position model. The record is from RNAcentral.
UACGUAGGUAGCGAGCGUUAUCCGGAAUUAUUGGGCGUAAAGAGCGCGCAGGUGGUUGAUUAAGUCUGAUGUGAAAGCCCACGGCUUAACCGUGGAGGGUCAUUGGAAACUGGUCGACUUGAGUGCAGAAGAGGGAAGUGGAAUUCCAUGUGUAGCGGUGAAAUGCGUAGAGAUAUGGAGGAACACCAGUGGCGAAGGCGGCUUCCUGGUCUGUAACUGACACUGAGGCGCGAAAGCGUGGGGAGCAAACAGGAUUAGAUACCCUU